Molecule: unclassified non-coding RNA, 291 nt
Filed under: plant metagenome
Description: partial contains small subunit ribosomal RNA, internal transcribed spacer 1, and 5.8S ribosomal RNA
Rfam family: Eukaryotic small subunit ribosomal RNA (bases 1-54)
Source: RNAcentral
GGAAGUAAAAGUCGUAACAAGAUUUCCGUAGGUGAACCUGCGGAAGGAUCAUUAAUGAGUUGUCAUGGGGUUCGAUGCUGGCAGCCAAUUUUUGGAUGCAUGUGCUUGCCCUAACAAUCAUCUUCCAAACACCAGUGCACAUUUUUGAGGGAGUCUUGAGUUGGUUGCCGCUCUUGGGUGAUUUUCUCACAUUCCCUUAAAUCAUUAUACGCUAUUAACAAUGUUGAACGUGCUCUGUGCCGCAAGGCUAUUAAUAUAAUACAACUUUUAACAACGGAUCUCUUGGCUCUC